GGAUGUGAAGGCCAUCUGUCAUGUGUCACCCUGUUGAUUACUGGGUUUGAUUUGUGAUCUGGCUGGCUAGGCUAGUGUCCCCGUCCUCCCUUCCUGUCCCAUGUGUGUCCCUCCUGAAUCUGCAUGCUCAAAAAGGACAACCUUCCCCAAAUAGCGGAGGACUGGUCUCUGGUCAAGGAUACAUGAGUAGCUGUACUCUCCUGUUAGAACCUCCAAACAAGCUCUGAAACUUUAGAAUUUCUUAUAUUAGCAAAGACUUGGAAACACCUCUGUGCCCAUGUGUAGUCCAG
This 290-nucleotide small nuclear RNA is filed under the name Jaculus jaculus (lesser Egyptian jerboa). RNAcentral describes it as "7SK RNA (ENSJJAG00000003687.1)". It matches the Rfam family "7SK RNA". From Rfam's summary of the family: 7SK was discovered as an abundant small nuclear RNA in the mid-70s but a possible function has only recently been suggested. Two independent studies have found that 7SK RNA binds the CDK9/cyclin T complex (known as elongation factor P-TEFb). P-TEFb activates transcription by phosphorylating the C-terminal domain of RNA polymerase II. The record is from Rfam by way of RNAcentral. Lineage: Eukaryota; Metazoa; Chordata; Mammalia; Rodentia; Dipodidae.